UAGUCCACGCCGUAAACGAUGAGUGCUAGCUGUUGGUGCCGUAGGGCAUUAGUAGCGCAGUUAACGCGAUAAGCACUCCGCCUGGGGAGUACGGCCGCAAGGUUAAAACUCAAAUGAAUUGACGGGGGCCCGCACAAGCGGUGGAGCAUGUGGUUUAAUUCGAUGCAACGCGAAGAACCUUACCUACCCUUGACAUCCUGCGAAUCUGAUAGAGAUAUCGGAGUGCCUUCGGGAAUGCAGAGACAGGUGCUGCAUGGCUGUCGUCAGCUCGUGUUGUGAAAUGUUGGGUUAAGUCCCGUAACGAGCGCAACCCUUGUCCUUAGUUGCCAGCGAUUCGGUCGGGGACUCUAAGGAGACUGCCGGUGACAAACCGGAGGAAGGUGGGGACGACGUCAAGUCAUCAUGGCCCUUACGGGUAGGGCUACACACGUGCUACAAUGGUCGGUACAGAGGGAAGCAAGACCGCGAGGUGGAGCGAAUCUCAGAAAGCCGAUCGUAGUCCGG
Molecule: ribosomal RNA, 504 nt
Filed under: uncultured bacterium
Lineage: Bacteria
Description: bacterial SSU rRNA
Rfam family: Bacterial small subunit ribosomal RNA
Source: RNAcentral